CAUGGCCAGCAUUCAUCUGUGUGACUCUUGAAUGACACAAACAUUUCUAUAGCUUCUACUUCAGGAAAAGAUGGAAUAAUAAGGACCAGAUUUACGUUCGGUUUGAUAAAUGUAAAAGUAUGGGACAUAUUAUUGAAAUAACAGUUGAAAAGCCAUCGGACACCAGGCAAUGAAGGGGAAUGAUCCGUGAGAACAGGUGAGCAGGUGCUGGGUCCAGUGCAAGACACAGGUGGUAAAAGGAAGAGGCCAGGCAAAGCUCAGCAGACUCACUAAGACGAAAAGCCACAGCUGAAGUUAGGAAGUCCAAGGCAGCUGGAAUUCACAUAAGAGCGAGGGGUACACAGUGAGAGCUGUGGAGGUUCGCAGAGGGUCCUCCCCCACCACUCAGCUAAGUACUGGCCAGAGGAUGGAAAAGAGAGGGAGCCAUACAUGACAUUAGAGGGAGCAUUGUCCAUAGAUCGAACAGGGAUGGGAAUAGUGCCUGUUCCUCCCAGCCAGAGUAGAAAACAAAUUCACAGGGCUCUGGGUACAGUACUUAGAAGGGUUUUCCUUCAGUGGAGGGUGAAAUUAGCCUUAGGAUAAAUGCUGCUCUGAUCCCGCUUAGCAAAGCAUAAAAGCAAGAUCAAAAAGAUCAAACUCAAAACAAAGUUCAAAGCUAUUUACAGGAAUAUAAAAUAUACAGCAUCUGACAAAGUAAAAUUCACAAUGCAUGGCACUCAAUCAAAAGUCACUAACUAGCCCAUGAGAAAGAAAAAAAUGACCCAUAAUGUGGAUCAAUAUCCAUCAACCAACAGUGAUCCAGAAAUGACAAAUGAUAGAAUAGAAUUGGUAGACAAGGACAUGAAAGCAAGCAUUAAAACAACAUUUCAAUAUUUCAUACAUUUAGUAUAAUAGAGGAAGAGGUUGAUCAUGUUAACUAGAUGCAAGAAAGAUUUAGAAAAGAUCCACAUCAAACUUCUCAAGAUGAAAGCCACAAUGUGUGAGAUAAAAAAUACAUGGGGAGGGGACUCAAGAUGGCGCUGUGAGAACAACCCAGGAUUGGAGCCCGCGUUGAAUCCGCAAACGCUGAAACACCAGAAGUUGGAAAACAACACAAGAAAGCCAUGAAACUUUCAGCCUGUGUGUUGCUGUCCAUGGCCAACGACUGAACCCCUGCAGUGGACCCUGCGGUGAAGAGAACAGCUCCUGCAUAAGUCCUCCCCUCCCUUCUCCUCAGCUCUCCCAGACAUUCCUUCCACCUGUGGCCAAUGUGGAGCAUGCCUCUCUGCUGACAUGUCUUCGUCAGAUGAUCCUCACAUUUGGUGUCCACUCACAUUCACCAAUUUAUUUCUGCCUCAGCAGCCUUAAGUUUGGUCAGCCUUACCAUGUUGCAGGCCCUGAACCAGGAAGUUGGGGUCUGGUGGCCCUGCUGCCAGUUUGGAGGAAGGGUAUUCCCCUGGGAGAAUUCUGAGCUCAGAGGGUCCUCCAGAGUUGUCAAGGGGCUGGAGGAGGUUUCUCCUGGUGGCCCGAGGGUACCUCCAAGGCCCAGAGGCAGAUGCAACUGAGGGGAAGGCCAUGCUCAGAAGGCCAUGGUCCAUGCAGGAGGUGGAACUAGAGGAGCACCCAGGAAGAAGGAAGAAGUGGAAGGACGCGCUGGGAGAAGGUGAAGUUGCGGUCUCAUCAUGUGUUGAAAGUAUGAUUUCACUAUGGAGGCAGCGGGAGCCCCUGAAGGAGUAAUCUUUUUGCUCCUUUAAACAUGCACAUGGCACAAAAGUCAAAGCAUGCAGAGGGUAUGCUGAACAGUGAGUCUCCCCCACCCUGUCUGCACACCCUCUGGGCCCCUUUCUAGAGGUGCUGCUGUGCCCUGUGUGUCUGUGUGGAGCUCUUCC
Molecule: long non-coding RNA, 1868 nt
Organism: Callithrix jacchus (white-tufted-ear marmoset)
Lineage: Eukaryota; Metazoa; Chordata; Mammalia; Primates; Cebidae
Source: Ensembl